CUUCGGGGUAGAUCUCCCACCCUUGUGUAUCAUUAUUAAAUGUUGCUUUGGUGGGCCGCGAGCCUGGCUUGCCUGGAUUCACGUCCGGUGUGCCCGCCAGAGGACCUAAAACUCUGAAUGUUAGUGUCGUCUGAGUACUAUUAAAUAGUUAAAACUUUCAACAACGGAUCUCUUGGUUCUGGCAUCGAUGAAGAACGCAGCGAAAUGCGAUAAGUAAUGUGAAUUGCAGAAUUCAGUGAAUCAUCGAAUCUUUGAACGCACAUUGCGCCCCUUGGUAUUCCGGGGGGCAUGCCUGUUCGAGCGUCAUUUAUACCAAUCUAGCUCGGCUAGGUGUUGGGUUUCGCCGUUUGGCGGGCCUUAAAAUUAGUGGCGGUGCUCCUCAGCUCUACGCGUAGUAAUUCUUCUCGCUACAGGGUCUUGUGGAGAUGCUUGCCAGCAACCCCGAAUUUUUCUAGGUUGACCUCGGAUCA
This 470-nucleotide ribosomal RNA is filed under the name Lachnum sp. olrim977. RNAcentral's name for it is "eukaryotic LSU rRNA". The stretch from base 153 to 306 matches the Rfam family "5.8S ribosomal RNA". Lineage: Eukaryota; Fungi; Ascomycota; Leotiomycetes; Helotiales; Lachnaceae. The record is from RNAcentral.